This 504-nucleotide ribosomal RNA is filed under the name uncultured bacterium. Its description in RNAcentral is "partial 16S ribosomal RNA". It matches the Rfam family "Bacterial small subunit ribosomal RNA", at positions 29 to 507 of the family's 1533-position model. The record is from RNAcentral.
ACGAACGCUGGCGGCGUGCCUAAUACCUGCAAGUAGAACGCACAGUUUAUACCGUAGCUUGCUACACCAUAGACUGUGAGUUGCGAACGGGUGAGUAACGCGUAGGUAACCUGCCUGGUAGCGGGGGGUAACUAUUGGAAACGAUAGCUAAUACCGCAUAAUAUUGCUUAUUUCAUGAUAAUUGAUUGAAAGAUGCUAUUGCAUCACUACCAGAUGGACCUGGGGUUUAUUAGCUAGUAGGUGAAGUAACGGCUCACCUAGGCGACGAUACAUAGCCGACCGGAGCGGGUGAUCGGCCACACUGAGACUGAGACACGGCCCAGACUCAUACGGGAAGCAGCAGUAGGGAAUCUUCAGCAAUGGACGAGAGUCUGAGCGAGCAACGCCGCGUGAGUGAAGAAGGUUUUCGGAUCGUAAAGCUCUGUUGUAAGAGGAGAACGGGUGUGAGAGUGGUAAGUUCACACUGUGACGGUAUCUUACCAGAAAGGGACGGCUAACUACGUG